RNAcentral lists this ribosomal RNA (255 nucleotides) under uncultured bacterium. RNAcentral's name for it is "partial 16S ribosomal RNA". It matches the Rfam family "Bacterial small subunit ribosomal RNA", at positions 524 to 776 of the family's 1533-position model. The record is from RNAcentral.
UACGUAGGGUGCAAGCGUUAAUCGGAAUUACUGGGCGUAAAGGGCGCGUAGGCGGCCACCGCAAGUCGACUGUGAAAUCUCCGGGCUUAACCCGGAAAGGUCAGCCGAUACUGCGGGGCUAGAGUGCAGAAGGGGCAACUGGGAAUUCUCGGUGUAGCGGUGAAAUGCGUAGAUAUCGAGAGGAACACCUGCGGCGAAGGCGGGUUGCUGGGCUGACACUGACGCUGAAGCGCGAAAGCUAGGGGAGCGAACGGG